This 489-nucleotide long non-coding RNA is filed under the name Olea europaea subsp. europaea. Lineage: Eukaryota; Viridiplantae; Streptophyta; Magnoliopsida; Lamiales; Oleaceae. The record is from RNAcentral.
AGAAGUUCCAUUUCCCGAAUUUCAUUUCUCUCUCCAGACAAGCGAAGAAAAUAUUCCUAGGCAUAGAUUCGACAUAUGAGGUCACGGGGGAGAGAUUCUGGCGGAGACCCUGCUUGGACAAAGCUGCCUGACGAGUGAGGCUGAUAUGCCUAGAGCAUCAUUAUGCUUCUAGUUGAUAUUGAACUUUGGGACGCAAGAGUCCAUAACCCUGAGGAGGAGCUCAGUGGUCAGGCCUUGGUUUCACAGGGUGUCUUUCUUCUUGCUACAGAAGGGACAUCGUGCGGCAGUAGUAUGCUUUACUAGACUACCUUUCGCUUUUUCUCGGUCGUAUCGGUAUGAAAGAAAAUUUGAUUACAAUUUUGUAUAAAGCUUACAAUAGAGAAUUUGAAUGUAUUUACAGUAAAUUGAUAUUUGAUUGAUGAAAGCUGAAAAUUACAAUUGUUGGUGCAGGGACGGACACUAGUGAGCUUGAAAGAUUUUUGAAUGACU